AUGGAGGAUGGCAGGAAGAAAUUACACUGGAGAUCUUGGGAGUGGUUGUCCUCUCCGAAAUAUCUUGGGGGGAUGGGCUUUCGAGACAUGCAAUUAUUUAAUCAAGCCAUGCUUGCUAAGCAAUGUUGGCGACUGUUAUUAGAGCCCCUCUCUCCGUGUCACCGUGUAAUGAAAGGGAGAUAUUUUCCCGAUGGAGACUUUUGGAGCUCAAAAUGCCCAAGAGCAGCAUCCUACACAUGGCAAAGCAUUAUGUAUGGGAAGGAGCUCUUGCGGAGAGGAUUGCUAUGGAGAGUUGGAAACGGAAAACAAAUUUCUAUCAUCCGGGAUAACUGGAUACGAGACACCAUACAUGGGACAAUGCAAACAUUAAUUCCAAUGGAAGAUAACCAAACAUUGAGCUCUCUAUUCUCUAGUAACGGCCCCGCUUGA
RNAcentral lists this ribosomal RNA (429 nucleotides) under Triticum aestivum (bread wheat). RNAcentral's name for it is "partial small subunit ribosomal RNA". Lineage: Eukaryota; Viridiplantae; Streptophyta; Magnoliopsida; Poales; Poaceae. The record is from RNAcentral.